Molecule: non-coding RNA, 336 nt
Organism: Vicia faba (fava bean)
Lineage: Eukaryota; Viridiplantae; Streptophyta; Magnoliopsida; Fabales; Fabaceae
Source: the annotation of a GenBank genome assembly
AUGUGUUCCUGCAUAAACAAGACCAUUUCUGGCAAUGGCAGAGGAAGGGCUUUUGAUACAAUAAAUGAUAGAGAAAGAACAAGAGGGUGGGGUGGUGGCAGUGUGAGUGGCUCGGGAACGGAUAAAAUUGAUGCUCUUGGUAGCCUCCUUUCUGGCAAUGGCAGAGGAAGGGCUUUUGAUACAAUAAAUGAUAGAGAAAGAACAAGAGGGUGGGGUGGUGGCAGUGUGAGUGGCUCGGGAACGGAUAAAAUUGAUGCUCUUGGUAGCCUCCUUUCUGGCAAUGGCAGAGGAAGGGCUUUUGAUACAAUAAAUGAUAGAGAAAGAACAAGAGGGUGA